RNAcentral lists this non-coding RNA (21 nucleotides) under Arabidopsis thaliana (thale cress). Lineage: Eukaryota; Viridiplantae; Streptophyta; Magnoliopsida; Brassicales; Brassicaceae. The record is from RNAcentral.
CUUGAUUCUAUGGGUGGUGGU